This 253-nucleotide ribosomal RNA is filed under the name uncultured bacterium. Its description in RNAcentral is "partial 16S ribosomal RNA". It matches the Rfam family "Bacterial small subunit ribosomal RNA", at positions 524 to 776 of the family's 1533-position model. The record is from RNAcentral.
GACGUAGGAGGCGAGCGUUGUCCGGAUUCAUUGGGCGUAAAGAGCACGCAGGCGGUUUGGCAAGUCGGAUGUGAAAACCCGAAGCUCAACUUCGGGCCUGCAUCCGAAACUGCCCGACUAGAGGUAGGUAGGGGAGAUCGGAAUUCCUGGUGUAGCGGUGAAAUGCGUAGAUAUCUGAAGGAACACCAGUGGCGAAGGCGGCUUUCUGGCCUAUUCUUGACGCUGAGGCGCGAAAGCUAGGGGAGCGAACGGG